RNAcentral lists this ribosomal RNA (665 nucleotides) under Minutisphaera fimbriatispora. Its description in RNAcentral is "eukaryotic LSU rRNA". The stretch from base 287 to 440 matches the Rfam family "5.8S ribosomal RNA". The record is from RNAcentral. Lineage: Eukaryota; Fungi; Ascomycota; Dothideomycetes; Minutisphaerales; Minutisphaeraceae.
CUUGGUCAUUUAGAGGAAGUAAAAGUCGUAACAAGGUUUCCGUAGGUGAACCUGCGGAAGGAUCAUUAAAAAAAAGUUGUGUGAGGCGGUAACCUGGCAGUGCCAGGUGGCCGCUUAUACAUCAACACCCUCUGUAUAUCUACCGUGUUGCUUUGGCGGGACGGCAACCCAUCAGCUCCGCUGGGAAGUUGUCCGCAGGGCCUGUAAAGGCCCCGCGAGCGCCCGCCGGAGAACCACCAAACUCAUGUUAAACCGUGAUGUCUGAGCUUUACAAGCAAUAAGUUAAAACUUUCAACAACGGAUCUCUUGGUUCUCGCAUCGAUGAAGAACGCAGCGAAAUGCGAUAAGUAAUGUGAAUUGCAGAAUUCAGUGAAUCAUCGAAUCUUUGAACGCAUAUUGCGCCCCUUGGUAUUCCGAGGGGCAUGCCUUUUCGAGCGUCAUUACAACCGUCAAGCUCUGCUUGGUAUUGGGCCUCUGCCCCCCUGUGGGCGGGCCUUAAAGUCAUCAGCGGCUGAGCAAACGGCACUCUAGCGUAGUAGAAAUUAACUCGCUGGGGACCGGGGCUCAGGCAGCUGUUAAACACGCGUCUCUGGCGCACAUCUUAAGGUUGACCUCGGAUAAGGUAGGGAUACCCGCUGAACUUAAGCAUAUCAAUAAGCGGAGGA